This 474-nucleotide ribosomal RNA is filed under the name Triticum aestivum (bread wheat). RNAcentral's name for it is "partial small subunit ribosomal RNA". The record is from RNAcentral. Lineage: Eukaryota; Viridiplantae; Streptophyta; Magnoliopsida; Poales; Poaceae.
AUGAACCGGCAAUGGAUGUAUGGUGACAGACACACCCGCGAGUACAUUAAGGGCAUGCAUGAGUUUCUCGAUGCGGCUGAGGCAAACAAGCAGAAUGGUUUUAUGUGUUUUCCAUGCACUGAAUGUGGGAAUACGAGGUCUUACUCUAACCGGAAAAUCCUUCAAUCCCACCUGCUUUACAAGGGUUUCAUGCCACACUAUAAUGUUUGGACGAGGCAUAGAGAAAUAGGGGUUAUGAUGGAAGACGGCGAAGAAGAAGAGUACGAUGACAACUAUGUGCCCCUGAAUAUGGUGAUGCUGCAACGGGGGGAGCUGGUGAAGAUCAAGAGGAACCAGACGAUGUGCCCAAUGAUGCUGCCACGGGUGAAGCUACUGAAGAUCAAGAGGAACCAGACGAUGUGCCUGAUGAUGAUGAUCUCUGCCGGGUCAUUGUCGAUGCAAGGACGCAAUGCAUUAGUCAAAAGGAGAAGCUGA